Molecule: ribosomal RNA, 463 nt
Filed under: uncultured bacterium
Lineage: Bacteria
Description: partial 16S ribosomal RNA
Rfam family: Bacterial small subunit ribosomal RNA
Source: RNAcentral
GACGAACGCUGGCGGCGUGCUUAACACAUGCAAGUCGAACGGAAAGGCCUUUUCGGAGGUACUCGAGUGGCGAACGGGUGAGUAACACGUGGGUGAUCUGCCCUGUACUCUGGGAUAAGCCUGGGAAACUGGGUCUAAUACCGGAUAGGACCGCACUUUAGUGUGUGUGGUGGAAAGUUUUUUCGGUGUAGGAUGAGCCCGCGGCCUAUCAGCUUGUUGGUGGGGUAAUGGCCUACCAAGGCGGCGACGGGUAGCCGGACUGAGAGGUUGGUCGGCCACAUUGGGACUGAGAUACGGCCCAGACUCCUACGGGAGGCAGCAGUGGGGAAUAUUGCACAAUGGGCGCAAGCCUGAUGCAGCGACGCCGCGUGGGGGAUGACGGCCUUCGGGUUGUAAACUCCUUUCGCCAGGGACGAAGCGUUUUGUGACGGUACCUGGAGAAGAAGCACCGGCUAACUACGUG